GCCAGUGUGGUGUAGUGGUUUGAGUGUUGGACUGUGGCUCUGGAGACUAGGGUUUGAUUCCCCAUUUGGCC
RNAcentral lists this transfer RNA (71 nucleotides) under Phrynosoma platyrhinos (Desert horned lizard). RNAcentral describes it as "tRNA-OTHER". Lineage: Eukaryota; Metazoa; Chordata; Lepidosauria; Squamata; Phrynosomatidae. The record is from RNAcentral.